GCCCUCGUAGUUCAACAGGAUAGAACGGAGGAUUCCUAAUCCUCUGAUCUGGGUUCGAGUCCCGGCGAGGGUA
This 73-nucleotide transfer RNA is filed under the name Fidelibacterota bacterium. RNAcentral describes it as "tRNA-Arg". It matches the Rfam family "tRNA". From Rfam's summary of the family: Transfer RNA (tRNA) molecules are approximately 80 nucleotides in length. Their secondary structure includes four short double-helical elements and three loops (D, anti-codon, and T loops). RNAcentral also lists the same sequence under 1 other name. Lineage: Bacteria; Pseudomonadati; Fidelibacterota. The record is from RNAcentral.